RNAcentral lists this ribosomal RNA (564 nucleotides) under Streptomyces sp. 334F11. Its description in RNAcentral is "bacterial SSU rRNA". It matches the Rfam family "Bacterial small subunit ribosomal RNA", at positions 93 to 671 of the family's 1533-position model. Lineage: Bacteria; Bacillati; Actinomycetota; Actinomycetes; Kitasatosporales; Streptomycetaceae. The record is from RNAcentral.
UAGUGGCGAACGGGUGAGUAACACGUGGGCAAUCUGCCCUUCACUCUGGGACAAGCCCUGGAAACGGGGUCUAAUACCGGAUAACACUGCGGAUCUCAUGGUCUGCGGUUAAAAGCUCCGGCGGUGAAGGAUGAGCCCGCGGCCUAUCAGCUUGUUGGUGAGGUAAUGGCUCACCAAGGCGACGACGGGUAGCCGGCCUGAGAGGGCGACCGGCCACACUGGGACUGAGACACGGCCCAGACUCCUACGGGAGGCAGCAGUGGGGAAUAUUGCACAAUGGGCGAAAGCCUGAUGCAGCGACGCCGCGUGAGGGAUGACGGCCUUCGGGUUGUAAACCUCUUUCAGCAGGGAAGAAGCGAAAGUGACGGUACCUGCAGAAGAAGCGCCGGCUAACUACGUGCCAGCAGCCGCGGUAAUACGUAGGGCGCAAGCGUUGUCCGGAAUUAUUGGGCGUAAAGAGCUCGUAGGCGGCUUGUCACGUCGAUUGUGAAAGCCCGAGGCUUAACCUCGGGUCUGCAGUCGAUACGGGCUAGCUAGAGUGUGGUAGGGGAGAUCGGAAUUCCU